This 259-nucleotide unclassified non-coding RNA is filed under the name root metagenome. Its description in RNAcentral is "partial contains small subunit ribosomal RNA, internal transcribed spacer 1, and 5.8S ribosomal RNA". The record is from RNAcentral.
UUUCCGUAGGUGAACCUGCGGAAGGAUCAUUAAAUUCAGUAGUUUACUACUGUUUUGAGGGAAGCGGAAACUCGCUCGGCUGCUUCGGUAUGCCUGGCUGAGGAGUACGCCCCCUCUUUACACCCUUGUCUUUUUGCGUACUCAUGUUUCCUCGGCGGGCUUGCCCGCCGGUUGGACAAAUAAUAACCUUUUUAAUCUUCAAUCAGCGUCUGAAUAAUUAUAAUAAUUACAACUUUCAACAACGGAUCUCUUGGUUCUG